AGUGAACGCUGGCGGUAGGCCUAACACAUGCAAGUCGAACGGCAGCACAGGAGAGCUUGCUCUCUGGGUGGCGAGUGGCGGACGGGCGAGGAAUACAUCGGAAUCUACUCUGUCGUGGGGGAUAACGUAGGGAAACUUACGCUAAUACCGCAUACGACCUACGGGUGAAAGCAGGGGACCUUCGGGCCUUGCGCGAUUGAAUAAGCCGAUGUCGGAUUAGCUAGUUGGCGGGGUAAAGGCCCACCAAGGCGACGAUCCGUAGCUGGUCUGAGAGGAUGAUCAGCCACACUGGAACUGAGACACGGUCCAGACUCCUACGGGAGGCAGCAGUGGGGAAUAUUGGACAAUGGGCGCAAGCCUGAUCCAGCCAUACCGCAUGGGUGAAGAAGGCCUUCGGGUUGUAAAGCCCUUUUGUUGGGAAAGAAAUCCAGCUGGCUAAUACCCGGUUGGGAUGACGGUACCCAAAGAAUAAGCACCGGCUAACUUCGUGCCAGCAGCCGCGGUAA
This 506-nucleotide ribosomal RNA is filed under the name uncultured bacterium. Its description in RNAcentral is "partial 16S ribosomal RNA". It matches the Rfam family "Bacterial small subunit ribosomal RNA", at positions 29 to 523 of the family's 1533-position model. The record is from RNAcentral.